This 400-nucleotide ribosomal RNA is filed under the name uncultured bacterium. RNAcentral's name for it is "bacterial SSU rRNA". It matches the Rfam family "Bacterial small subunit ribosomal RNA", at positions 356 to 773 of the family's 1533-position model. The record is from RNAcentral.
GGGGAAUAUUGCGCAAUGGGGGCAACCCUGACGCAGCAACGCCGCGUGAAGGAAGAAGGCCUUCGGGUUGUAAACUUCUUUGAUCGGGGACGAAACUGACGGUACCCGAGGAACAAGCCACGGCUAACUACGUGCCAGCAGCCGCGGUAAUACGUAGGUGGCAAGCGUUGUCCGGAAUUACUGGGCGUAAAGGGCGUGUAGGCGGGGCGGCAAGUCAGGUGUGAAAUCCCGGGGCUUAACUCCGGAGCUGCAUCUGAAACUGCUGUUCUUGAGUGCUGGAGAGGAAAGUGGAAUUCCCAGUGUAGCGGUGAAAUGCGUAGAGAUUGGGAGGAACACCAGUGGCGAAGGCGGCUUUCUGGACAGUAACUGACGCUGAGGCGCGAAAGCGUGGGGAGCAAAC